RNAcentral lists this long non-coding RNA (620 nucleotides) under Sinocyclocheilus grahami. RNAcentral's name for it is "lncRNA (ENSSGRG00000018746.1)". Lineage: Eukaryota; Metazoa; Chordata; Actinopteri; Cypriniformes; Cyprinidae. The record is from RNAcentral.
UUCGCGUUGGCGGCUGUGUUUGCAACAGCACUAGAUUCUGCUCAAAUUCUAUCUCAUAUUGAACAGUUUUGUUUUUUUUGUAAUCAUCUGAAAUCGCACCAAAAUCUAGUUUUUGAUGACCUACGAAGAAAGUCAGCAUGCAAACCGGUCGCUCUGCUUGAACGCAUUUGAAGAUGGAGGAUAUGGAGGUAGCUCCAGUGUCCAGUGAGGCCAGUGUGAUUGUAGUCUCUGAGUCUGAAAGCAACACGGAGGAAGAGGAUGUUCCCAUGCAGGAUCAAGGCCCAUCUGAGCGACCCAGACUUUCAGCCCAUCGGGCGAUCAGGAGGAGACAUAUAAUUGGGACACAUUCGCAGCUCUCCACACGUGAAGAGAGGAUGCGCAGACUCCGGGAGCUCAUCGCAGAGAAUCUGGUAGAGCGGCUGAGUGGCUCCCAGGACACGCAGCGCUCCGUUCCUCACACAGAUCCACCACCGCUGGACCCUGAACCCAGCUCCAGCCGCACCGCUGCUGCGGAUGUGCAGACGUCUGAUGAAUCCAGCGCUGCAGGGUCCAGUGUUUCUACAGAGGCUGAAGGGACGAGAGCAGCCGCUCAUCCGUACGAGUCACAACAAGAGACUGAG